UGGCGUCAGGAUGAACGCUAGCUACAGGCUUAACACAUGCAAGUCGAGGGGCAGCAUGUGGUUGCUGCAACCAAUGAUGGCGACCGGCGCACGGGUGAGUAACGCGUAUCCAACCUUCCCCUUAGUAGAGGAUAGCCCGGCGAAAGUCGGAUUAAUACUCUAUGUUCUUCAAUGCGGACAUCUAAGUUGAAGCAAAGAUUUAUCGCUAAGGGAUGGGGAUGCGUCUGAUUAGGUUGCAGGCGGGGUAACGGCCCACCUGGCCUACGAUCAGUAGGGGUUCUGAGAGGAAGGUCCCCCACACUGGUACUGAGACACGGACCAGACUCCUACGGGAGGCAGCAGUGAGGAAUAUUGGUCAAUGGGCGCGAGCCUGAACCAGCCAAGUAGCGUGCAGGAACCGACUGCCCUAUGGGUUGUAAACUGCUUUUAUCAGGGAAUAAAGUGAGGCACGCGUGCCUUUUUGUAUGUACCUGAUGAAUAAGGACCGGCUAAUUCCGUGCCAGCAGCUGC
RNAcentral lists this ribosomal RNA (510 nucleotides) under uncultured bacterium. RNAcentral describes it as "bacterial SSU rRNA". It matches the Rfam family "Bacterial small subunit ribosomal RNA", at positions 19 to 518 of the family's 1533-position model. The record is from RNAcentral.